This 233-nucleotide unclassified non-coding RNA is filed under the name plant metagenome. RNAcentral describes it as "partial contains small subunit ribosomal RNA, internal transcribed spacer 1, and 5.8S ribosomal RNA". The record is from RNAcentral.
UUUCCGUAGGUGAACCUGCGGAAGGAUCAUUAUUGUAUUUUGAAACUUCAGGCUGCUGCUGGCUCUCCUCGGAGGGCAUGUGCACGCUUGUUGUCCAUUAUUUCUCCCACUGUGCACAAAUUGUAGACCUUUCAGUAGGCCUAUGUUGUUUUUCACAAUCUCUGAAUGUAAUAGAAUGGUUUUGAAUCUUGGGAAAUACAAUACAACUUUCAGCAACGGAUCUCUUGGCUCUC